This 495-nucleotide ribosomal RNA is filed under the name uncultured bacterium. RNAcentral describes it as "partial 16S ribosomal RNA". It matches the Rfam family "Bacterial small subunit ribosomal RNA", at positions 28 to 507 of the family's 1533-position model. The record is from RNAcentral.
GACGAACGCUGGCGGCGUGCCUAAUACAUGCAAGUAGAACGCUGAAGGAGGAGCUUGCUCUUCUGGAUGAGUUGCGAACGGGUGAGUAACGCGUAGGUAACCUGCCUGGUAGCGGGGGAUAACUAUUGGAAACGAUAGCUAAUACCGCAUAACAGUAGAUGUUGCAUGACAUUUGCUUAAAAGGUGCAAUUGCACCACUACCAGAUGGACCUGCGUUGUAUUAGCUAGUUGGUGGGGUAACGGCUCACCAAGGCGACGAUACAUAGCCGACCUGAGAGGGUGAUCGGCCACACUGGGAAGGAGACACGGCCCAGACUCCUACGGGAGGCAGCAGGAGGGAAUCUUCGGCAAUGGACGGAAGUCUGACCGAGCAACGCCGCGUGAGUGAAGAAGGGUUUCGGAUCGUAAAGCUCUGUUGUAAGAGAAGAACGAGUGUGAGAGUGGAAAGUUCACACUGUGACGGUAUCUUACCAGAAAGGGACGGCUAACUACGUG